GUGUUUGCUUCAGCAACACAUAUACUAAAAUUGGAACAAUGGAAGAUUAGUGUGGCCCCAGUGCAAGGAUGACACGUAAAUUUGUAAAGGGUUCCGUAUUUUA
Molecule: small nuclear RNA, 103 nt
Organism: Acomys russatus (golden spiny mouse)
Lineage: Eukaryota; Metazoa; Chordata; Mammalia; Rodentia; Muridae
Source: RefSeq, a predicted model, not a curated record